GUCUAUGGCCAUACCACCCUGAACGAGCCCGAUCUCGUCUGAUCUCAGAAGCUAAGUAGGCUCGGGCCUGGUUAGUACUUGGAUGGGAGACCACCUGGGAAUACCGGGUGCUGUAGGCU
Ailuropoda melanoleuca (giant panda) is the source of this 119-nucleotide ribosomal RNA. The record is from Ensembl. Lineage: Eukaryota; Metazoa; Chordata; Mammalia; Carnivora; Ursidae.